CUGACCUGCCCAGUGAUUAAUUUAACGGCCGCGGUAUAUUGACCGUGCAAAGGUAGCAUAAUCAUUAGUCUUUUAAUAGAGGGCUGGAAUGAAAGGUUUGACGAGGAACUGACUGUCUCAUUUUAUUUGUUUUAAAAUUUAAUUUUUUAGUUAAAAAGCUAAAAUUUUAUUGGAAGACGAGAAGACCCUAUAGAUCUUCAUAAAAUUAUGAUUAAUUAUUAUUAUAUUAAUAUAAUUAUUUAUUUUUUUAUUUUGUUGGGGUGACAAAAAUAUAUGAUUAACUUUUUUAUUUAUUUAACAUUAAUUUAUGAAUACAUGAUCCAUUAUUAGUGAUUAUUAGAUUAAGUUACCUUAGGGAUAACAGCGUAAUCCUCCUCCAGAGUUCAUAUUUACAGGACGGGCUUGCGACCUCGAUGUUGGAUUAAGAUAAUAAUCAGGUGUAGCCGCUUGAUUUAUAGGUCUGUUCGACCUUUAA
Molecule: ribosomal RNA, 475 nt
Filed under: Trithemis donaldsoni
Lineage: Eukaryota; Metazoa; Arthropoda; Insecta; Odonata; Libellulidae
Description: partial 16S ribosomal RNA
Rfam family: Bacterial large subunit ribosomal RNA
Source: RNAcentral